UACAGGGGGUGCAAGCGUUACUCGGAAUUAUUGGGCGUAAAGCGCGUGUAGGUGGUUUUUUAAGUCUGGUGUGAAAGCCCUGGUCUCAAGCCAGGAAGUGCAUUGGAUACUGAAAGACUAGAGUGCAGGAGAGAGUGGCGGAAUUCCCGGUGUAGAGGUGAAAUUCGUAGAUAUCGGGAGGAACAACAGAGGCGAAGGCGGCCACUUGGACUGUUACUGACACUUAGACGCAAAAGCAUGGGGAGCAAACAGG
This 253-nucleotide ribosomal RNA is filed under the name uncultured bacterium. RNAcentral describes it as "partial 16S ribosomal RNA". It matches the Rfam family "Bacterial small subunit ribosomal RNA", at positions 524 to 776 of the family's 1533-position model. The record is from RNAcentral.